Molecule: ribosomal RNA, 908 nt
Filed under: Scleroderma dunensis
Lineage: Eukaryota; Fungi; Basidiomycota; Agaricomycetes; Boletales; Sclerodermataceae
Description: LSU rRNA
Rfam family: Eukaryotic large subunit ribosomal RNA
Source: RNAcentral
CUAGUAACUGCGAGUGAAGCGGGAAGGGCUCAAAUUUCGAAUCUGGCGGUCUCGGGCCGUCCGAGUUGUAAUCUAGAGAAGCGUCUUCCGCGCCGGACCGUGUACAAGUCUCCUGGAAGGGAGCGUCGUAGAGGGUGACAGUCCCGUCUUCGACACGGACUUUUCCCGGGGCUUUGUGAUGCGCUCUCGACAAGUCAAGUUGUUUGGAAAUGCAGCUCAAAUCGGGGGGUGAACUCCAUCUAAAGCUAAAUACGGGCGAGAGACCGAUAGCGAACAAGUACCGGGAGGGAAAAAUGAAAAAAACUCUGGAAAAAAAGUCAAACAGUACGUGAAAUUGCUGGAAGGGAAACGCUCGACGUCAGUCGGGUCGUCCGGGGAUCAACCCUGCUUUUUUCCUAGCUGGGCGUAUUUCCUGGUUCGACGGGUCAGCAUCGAUUUCGGCCGUCGUAAAAGGAUGGAAGUGAAUGUGGCACUUCUCGAAGGGUGUUAUAGCCUCUCGUAUGGAAUGCAAUGGCCGGAAUCAAGGAACUCGGCACGACCCCUCGAGGGGGGGUUCGGGGCUUCGGUCCACGCAGCGUGCCCAGGAUGCUGGCAGUAAUGGCUUUGAGCGACCCGUCUUGAAACACGGACCAAGGAGUCUAACGUGCCUGCGAGUGUUCGGGUGGAAACCCGAGCGCGCACGAAAGUGAAGUCGGGACCUCCGUAGUGGAGGGCACCGACGCCCAGACUCGGAGCCUCUGGCGAUGGAUCUGCGGUGGAGCACGUACGUUGGGACCCGAAGAUGGUGACUAUGCCCGAAUAGGCGAACCAGAGGAACUCUGGUGGAGGUCGUAGCGAUCUGACGUGCAAUCGACGUCGAUUUGGGUUAGGGCGAAGAUAAUCGACCGUCUAGUGCUGGUCCCGCCGAA